CUCCACGGACUCGCUCUUUUUCUCCAACUGCCUCAAUCUCCUUUUAAAUGCCCUUAUCGGCUCCCAUUCCUCAAAUUGACCUUCUUCCUCUUUCCACUCUCCCCAAAACUCCCUAAACCUAGCAGGCCUCCUCGUUCUCCUGAACUCCACAAUCCCAUCUCUAUCACCAUCUUCCACCUCCGCCACCAUUGCGUUCCUUAUAGCGGACAAGUCAAUCCCUAGCUUAGCCCUCGGUCCCCACUUCUCCAAUACCCUUUUGCUAAUCUCCGGCGCCGAGUAAACCCUUCGAAACUCCGAAAUCUUAGGCUGCAAUUUCU
This 317-nucleotide unclassified non-coding RNA is filed under the name Hevea brasiliensis (rubber tree). The record is from RNAcentral. Lineage: Eukaryota; Viridiplantae; Streptophyta; Magnoliopsida; Malpighiales; Euphorbiaceae.